CAUGCAAGUCGAACGGUAAGGCCCUUCGGGGUACACGAGUGGCGAACGGGUGAGUAACACGUGGGUAAUCUGCCCUGCACAUCGGGAUAAGCCUGGGAAACUGGGUCUAAUACCGAAUAGGACCACAGGACACAUGUCCUGUGGUGGAAAGCUUUUGCGGUGUGGGAUGGGCCCGCGGCCUAUCAGCUUGUUGGUGGGGUGAUGGCCUACCAAGGCGACGACGGGUAGCCGGCCUGAGAGGGUGUCCGGCCACACUGGGACUGAGAUACGGCCCAGACUCCUACGGGAGGCAGCAGUGGGGAAUAUUGCACAAUGGGCGAAAGCCUGAUGCAGCGACGCCGCGUGGGGGAUGACGGCCUUCGGGUUGUAAACCUCUUUCACCAUCGACGAAGGUCCGGGUUUUCUCGGGCUGACGGUAGGUGGAGAAGAAGCACCGGCCAACUACGUGCCAGCAGCCGCGGUAAUACGUAGGGUGCGAGCGUUGUCCGGAAUUACUGGGCGUAAAGAGCUCGUAGGUGGUUUGUCGCGUUGUUCGUGAAAUCUCACGGCUUAACUGUGAGCGUGCGGGCGAUACGGGCAGACUUGAGUACUGCAGGGGAGACUGGAAUUCCUGGUGUAGCGGUGGAAUGCGCAGAUAUCAGGAGGAACACCGGUGGCGAAGGCGGGUCUCUGGGCAGUAACUGACGCUGAGGAGCGAAAGCGUGGGGAGCGAACAGGAUUA
Molecule: ribosomal RNA, 721 nt
Filed under: Mycobacterium gordonae
Lineage: Bacteria; Bacillati; Actinomycetota; Actinomycetes; Mycobacteriales; Mycobacteriaceae
Description: bacterial SSU rRNA
Rfam family: Bacterial small subunit ribosomal RNA
Source: RNAcentral